This 228-nucleotide ribosomal RNA is filed under the name Triticum aestivum (bread wheat). RNAcentral's name for it is "partial small subunit ribosomal RNA". Lineage: Eukaryota; Viridiplantae; Streptophyta; Magnoliopsida; Poales; Poaceae. The record is from RNAcentral.
AUGGCUGGGGUGGUCGGCGUCUGGUUCGCCAAGUUCGGCCGGGAGGCGGCGCCGGCGGUAGAGGCAGAGGCCGAGGUCGUCGGACGGCGACACCAGGGCGACGGCCUGCUCGAGGUGGAGGCCGUGAAGACGGUGCAGAUCCAGGAGAGGAGGAGGAGGAACAGCGCCGUCCUCGCCAACUCCGAGGACACGGUGUGCAUGCUCAUGGACCGCUUCGCCCCGGCCUGA